AUGCUUGCUUCAGCAGCACAUAUGCUAAAAUUGGAAUGAUACAUAGAAGAUUAAUGUGGCCUCUGUGCAAGGAUGGCAUGCAAAUUUGUGAAGUACUCCAUAUGAAU
This 107-nucleotide small nuclear RNA is filed under the name Castor canadensis (American beaver). The record is from RNAcentral. Lineage: Eukaryota; Metazoa; Chordata; Mammalia; Rodentia; Castoridae.